AAUUACGUGUCACUAGGUACAUGGAGACGUGUGUAAGAUUUUAUAAAGAAUGGACCGUCACGCGAGCUUCAUGCUCGUGGCUGGUGUCUUUAAAUUCUCGAGAAUGUUAGUUCGAGUUAAAACACAAACUGCGGAAGUGAAAAAUCAUCGCAAGCAAGAAAGAAAUCACAAUUUAAAGAGAUAUUAUUUCCGGCCAGAAAGUACCUUAAUCUUAUGAAUAUUAUUUAUUAAAAGUAUUGAAUUAUCUUGAAAAGUUAAUUUAAAUGUAGAUGUUCAAAGUCCGUUUAAAUUCUCAUACAUUCAUUAAGGAUCUUUAAAUUACCGCAAUAUUUUCGGUUAUGUUACUCGAGAUUAAAUUCUUGAGAAUUUAAAAACACUAGCCAAAGCAUCCGAAGCUUCACAAUCUUCGGUAAGUACAGUGUAUAGGUAGUGAGCCUCAAAUUAGUUCGAAACUGGCAAAUCAUCGACUGGAUCUUUUUUUUAUCAUCGGUCAGGACCUACGCGUGUGAUGGCACAUACGCCAUCGAUCUAAUCGGACCUCUUGCAUUUAUUCAUUCGAAUGAGCCAGAACUCAAUGUUGGAACUGACUGCAGCUGGAAUGCAAAAAGUAUGCGAGAAAUGUCGAAAUUUAUCGGCGCAGUUCUUUUGCGAUCGUAGCGCUAAUUAAACGAACUACAGAGAUGAGUGCAUCUCCUUUUAGGCACUUGGAGAUCAGAAAGAUAAAUGCAAGUGCAUAUGUAUCUGGCGCGAAACUCCACCGAGUUUCCUGGUGUGCAGAUCGUUAAAUCUCUCUUUUUUGGUAAUCGUCACGCCCUCGACGUGAAAAAGCACCUCUCUUGGCGAUUUAAUUGAGUCUCAGUCAAUUAUUAACGCCAGACGAUCAGAAGAUUAAAAAGAGAAAUAUGCCGGUUCUUCUUUUCAACCGUCACACUCCGCUUUCAAGAUGGCGCCUGCUGAUUAUCUGUACGAGCCUCGCGCAUUUAUUCAUUAAAAUAAGCCAAAAGGAAUGAAUUGUUCGACUAAAUGUUGAAAAAAGCACGAUUCGAUGUAAACCGGCGAAGGGCGCACGGAGGGAACACUCAACACAAAUAUAUAAAUGUAUAUAGAUAUACAAAUACACGGUUAACACUUCAAGAGUCGUUUAAUGCUCGCCGAUCACAUCGCUUCGCGUUUAUCGAGAUGGUGACCUCCACUCGGAGUUAAAACCUUGCUAAAACCUACUUCCCCGGCAUGUUACGGGAAGCAAUCAGGUUCACCUGAAAUAACAUCACUGUAAAAUGUCGAGAAGGUGCGGGAUGUAUUUUUUUACUGCUCGAGUCACUUUUGUUAACGUUGCUUUAUUGGGUUUAACGACCCCGGGAAUCCCCACUCCGGCGCACUGUUAAAAAUAUUCACAAAUUGCAUGCACCUUUAGUACUAGGUUGUACUAUUUGCUCUAAUUCUUAACUCGACGUUUUGAAAGCGAAUUAUUACGAAUAUUAUAACAUUUAUUGCGAAUUUAUAAUUUUAUAACGGCAUGUCAUUGUAAUUCCGUGAAAUUUCUUAGGAAGAUAAUACACAUGUGUACUGAAUUUAUUACACAUGUUUACGAAAUAUACAAAUAACGUUAGAAAAUCUUUUUUAACAGGGUGGAGAGGAUAU
RNAcentral lists this long non-coding RNA (1641 nucleotides) under Orussus abietinus. RNAcentral's name for it is "uncharacterized LOC105699958". The record is from RNAcentral. Lineage: Eukaryota; Metazoa; Arthropoda; Insecta; Hymenoptera; Orussidae.